GGGGAAUAUUGGGCAAUGGGCGAAAGCCUGACCCAGCAACGCCGCGUGAAGGAAGAAGGCCCUCGGGUUGUAAACUUCUUUUAUCAGGGACGAAACAAAUGACGGUACCUGAUGAAUAAGCCACGGCUAACUACGUGCCAGCAGCCGCGGUAAUACGUAGGUGGCAAGCGUUAUCCGGAUUUACUGGGUGUAAAGGGCGUGUAGGCGGGCCUGCAAGUCAGGUGUGAAAUUCCAGGGCUCAACCCUGGAACUGCACUUGAAACUGUGGGUCUUGAGUGAUGGAGAGGCAGGCGGAAUUCCGUGUGUAGCGGUGAAAUGCGUAGAUAUACGGAGGAACACCAGUGGCGAAGGCGGCCUGCUGGACAUUAACUGACGCUGAGGCGCGAAAGCGUGGGGAGCAAAC
RNAcentral lists this ribosomal RNA (403 nucleotides) under uncultured bacterium. RNAcentral's name for it is "bacterial SSU rRNA". It matches the Rfam family "Bacterial small subunit ribosomal RNA", at positions 356 to 773 of the family's 1533-position model. The record is from RNAcentral.